This is a long non-coding RNA of Lycium barbarum (goji berry), 356 nucleotides long. RefSeq lists it as uncharacterized. The record is from RefSeq and is a predicted model, not a curated record. The transcript is spliced from 2 exons. Lineage: Eukaryota; Viridiplantae; Streptophyta; Magnoliopsida; Solanales; Solanaceae.
CUCUAAGCAUAUAUACCUACAAAGAAUAAGCCUCAAAUGGAGUUCCCCAAAUUUUUAAUUGUCUUGUUUCUCUUACUUGUUCCAUUUUCAACUGCAUCAAAUCCUCUUGGUGCCACAAAUGAUGCAGCAAAGCCAUUUUGCUUCAAGCAGUGUACACCUAAGUUUACAGAGGGGCAAUGCAACCUUGAAUGUUUAUGGCAAGAUUUUGAAUAUGGAAAAUGUGAAUUACAUAACAAAAUUCCUAGUUGUUGUUGUCACGGAGCCUCUAGUGUAUGAAAUAUCCAUAUUUAGCAUAACAAUAAUAAUAAAAUAUAUGAGGUAAUGGAUGGAAUUUAUUUUCCCUUACUUUAAUUCAA